Molecule: ribosomal RNA, 245 nt
Filed under: uncultured Methylobacterium sp.
Lineage: Bacteria; Pseudomonadati; Pseudomonadota; Alphaproteobacteria; Hyphomicrobiales; Methylobacteriaceae
Description: partial 16S ribosomal RNA
Rfam family: Bacterial small subunit ribosomal RNA
Source: RNAcentral
UACGAAGGGUGCUAGCGUUGUUCGGAAUCACUGGGCGUAAAGCGCGCGUAGGCGGCUAUUCAAGUCAGAGGUGAAAGCCCGUGGCUCAACCACGGAAUUGCCUUUGGAACUGUAUAGCUAGAGUGUCGGAGGGGAUAGCGGAAUUCCUAAUGUAGAGGUGAAAUUCGUAGAUAUUAGGAGGAACACCGGUGGCGAAGGCGGCUAUCUGGACGACAACUGACGCUGAGGCGCGAAAGCGCGGGGAU